Non-coding RNA from Alexandromys fortis (reed vole), 467 nucleotides. Lineage: Eukaryota; Metazoa; Chordata; Mammalia; Rodentia; Cricetidae. The record is from the annotation of a RefSeq genome assembly.
CGACACAAGCACAGGCCAACAACAUAGAAUUUAUAAUCCAAGCCUUUUCAGUAAGAACUGAGCUACAGCAGACAGGCAGGGGGAGCAACAUGAUGUCAGAAACCCAGGUUCUCAUAUCUCUGCUGCUCUUGGUGUCUGGCGCCUGUGCAGAUAUCGUGAUGACUCAGUCUCCAUCCUCCCUGGCUGUGUCAGUAGGAGAGAAGGUCACCAUCAGCUGCAAGUCCAGCCAGAGUCUUUUAUCUGGUAGCUACAACUACUUGGCUUGGUACCAGCAGAAACCAGGGCAGGCUCCCAAACUACUGAUCUACUUGGCAUCCACUCGGGAAACUGGGGUUCCUGAUCGCUUUACAGGCAGUGGAUCUAAGACAGAUUUCACUCUCACCAUCAGCAGUGUGCAGUCUGAAGACAUGGCAGAUUAUUACUGUCAGAAGCAUUAUGGUGCUCCUCCCACAGUGCUUCAGCCUUGA